UGGAGAGCUGGCUCAGAGGUUAA
RNAcentral lists this non-coding RNA (23 nucleotides) under Cricetulus griseus (Chinese hamster). Lineage: Eukaryota; Metazoa; Chordata; Mammalia; Rodentia; Cricetidae. The record is from RNAcentral.